UCGGACGGGUGGAGUAACGCGUGGAAAACCUGCCGUAUACUGGGGGAUAACACUUAGAAAUAGGUGCUAAUACCGCAUAAGCGCACAGCUUCGCAUGAAGCGGUGUGAAAAACUCUGGUGGUAUACGAUGGUUCCGCGUCUGAUUAGCUAGUUGGUGGGGUAAUGGCCUACCAAGGCAACGAUCAGUAGCCGGCCUGAGAGGGUGAACGGCCACAUUGGGACUGAGACACGGCCCAAACUCCUACGGAAGGCAGCAG
This 257-nucleotide ribosomal RNA is filed under the name uncultured bacterium. RNAcentral describes it as "partial 16S ribosomal RNA". It matches the Rfam family "Bacterial small subunit ribosomal RNA", at positions 98 to 354 of the family's 1533-position model. The record is from RNAcentral.